CUAAGAAAAUUUUGGUGGGGUAGUAGGCAAGGUCAAAUGAAGCCGGCAUGGGUGUCCUGGGAAACUAUGUGCAAGCCUAAGUUCAUGGGAGGGUUGGGGUUCCGUGACAUCGAGCUCUUUAAUCUUGCUCUAUGGGUACACCAGGUGUGGAGAAUUUUACAAGAGCCUAAUUUCCUGAGUGCACGAGUUUUGAAGGCAAGGUACUUUCCAGACGGGAGGACGUGA
This 225-nucleotide ribosomal RNA is filed under the name Triticum aestivum (bread wheat). RNAcentral's name for it is "partial small subunit ribosomal RNA". The record is from RNAcentral. Lineage: Eukaryota; Viridiplantae; Streptophyta; Magnoliopsida; Poales; Poaceae.